AUUGAACGCUGGCGGCGUGCCUAACACAUGCAAGUCGAGCGGUAACGCGGGGGCAACCCUGGCGACGAGCGGCGAACGGGUGAGUAAUGCUUGGGAAUCUGCCCAGUAGUGGGGAAUAACCAGCCGAAAGGUUGGCUAAUACCGCAUACGCCCUACGGGGGAAAGCGGGGGACCGAAAGGCCUCGCGCUAUUGGAUGAGCCCAAGUCGGAUUAGCUAGUUGGUAGGGUAACGGCCUACCAAGGCGACGAUCCGUAGCUGGUCUGAGAGGACGACCAGCCACACUGGGACUGAGACACGGCCCAGACUCCUACGGGAGGCAGCAGUGGGGAAUAUUGGACAAUGGGCGAAAGCCUGAUCCAGCGACGCCGCGUGGGUGAAGAAGGCCUGCGGGUUGUAAAGCCCUUUCGGCAGGGACGAA
This 419-nucleotide ribosomal RNA is filed under the name uncultured bacterium. RNAcentral describes it as "bacterial SSU rRNA". It matches the Rfam family "Bacterial small subunit ribosomal RNA", at positions 29 to 449 of the family's 1533-position model. The record is from RNAcentral.